GAGUCCUUCAGUUGAUAAGCCUAAAAUGGAAGGUGACUUGGCUGAAAUAGGAAAACUAGCAAUUGUAAUGCAAUGUUACAAGCCUUAAGGAUAUUAAAGUUCCAGAAAAUGGCUACAAAA
RNAcentral lists this small nucleolar RNA (120 nucleotides) under Ictidomys tridecemlineatus (thirteen-lined ground squirrel). RNAcentral describes it as "Small nucleolar RNA SNORA33 (ENSSTOG00000029483.1)". The record is from RNAcentral. Lineage: Eukaryota; Metazoa; Chordata; Mammalia; Rodentia; Sciuridae.